AUGAACGCUGGCGGCAUGCCUAAGACAUGCAAGUCGAACGAAGCGGCCCACUGACCUAUAUUGAAGUUGGAGUGCUUGCACAAAGAUGGAUUGUAGUGACGUGGAUCUUCCGCUUAGUGGCAAACGGGUGAGUAACACGUGGGUUACCUACCUUUAAGUUGGGGAUAACAGUUGGAAACGAUUGCUAAUACCGAAUGUGAUCUACGGAUUAAAGGAGCCCUUAAAGCUCCGCUUAGAGAUGGGCCUGCGGCGUAUUAGCUAGUUGGUGGGGUAACGGCCUACCAAGGCGACGAUGCGUAGCCGAACUGAGAGGUUAAUCGGCCACACUGGGACUGAGACACGGCCCAGACUCCUACGGGAGACAGCAGUUAGGAAUAUUCGUCAAUGGGGGAAACCCUGAACGAGCAAUGCCGCGUGAAGUGAUGACGGCCCUAUGGGUUGUAAAACUCUGUUGUUUGGAAAGAAUUGUUAAAGGAGGAAAUGCCUUUAGCUUGACGGUACCAUUCAAGAAAGCCACGGCUAACUACGUGCCAGCAGCGGC
Molecule: ribosomal RNA, 541 nt
Filed under: uncultured bacterium
Lineage: Bacteria
Description: bacterial SSU rRNA
Rfam family: Bacterial small subunit ribosomal RNA
Source: RNAcentral